CCCCAACGUUCAAGUCAGGAAUCCUCUCGCAUAUUUCUUUUUGCGGCCAUGGGAGGUUUCCGUUACAACAUUGGGAGAUCAAAAACCUAGUUCUCACAACCCUUGAUCUUUUCAUGUUCAUUGUGUUGACAAUAGCUUCCGUCUUGGGAGUCUAUUCGAGAAACUAAAGUUUGCAUCGCGAUGAGUUGAAAUCCGCCGUGUCGGCAUUUUUUGCUUUGGACACAUCUUGGCGGCGGCAUUUCUUAGUAGUGUUGCAGACAUUU
RNAcentral lists this small nucleolar RNA (263 nucleotides) under Niveomyces insectorum RCEF 264. Its description in RNAcentral is "Sporothrix insectorum RCEF 264 Small nucleolar RNA snR191". It matches the Rfam family "Small nucleolar RNA snR191". Lineage: Eukaryota; Fungi; Ascomycota; Sordariomycetes; Hypocreales; Cordycipitaceae. The record is from Rfam by way of RNAcentral.